This 2042-nucleotide long non-coding RNA is filed under the name Gallus gallus (chicken). Lineage: Eukaryota; Metazoa; Chordata; Aves; Galliformes; Phasianidae. The record is from RNAcentral.
UUUUUUUUUUUCUUUUUUCCUCCUCUCCAAACAUAUGGCAGCGAGAGAACUGAAAAUGGUCAGUGCCAGGAGCAGAUCGUUGCUUUUUUGGGUGUCAGUGUGCAACUUCCUCGCGCUGCUCCCGCUCGCCGGCAGCACCCGGUAAUGCGGCUGGGGGGGCUGAGGGGGCCGAGCGGGGCGGAGGGCAGCUUACGGCAGGGGCAGGGGGCGGCAGGUUUAAGGCCGUUCCGGCUACUCCCCCCCUCCCCCCCGGAGGCACCAUAUGGCGUAGUUUCACGUCGGCGGCUUUAUUUCUCCGUCAGUUCGCCCCGUGGAGGGGGGAGGGAAGGGGGAGCUCCGGGAAGGGCAGGCCCCGGCCGUUCGGCAUUACCGGGGAUUACAGGGCCGAGAAGGGGAACACUCGCGUUAUAUAACGGGCGUGCUACGCGUCAGCGGCCGGGAGCUGCGGAGAGGACGGGCCAUUCAGUGCCGCUCGUGGGUCGGAGCGGAGCUGCGCGACGCGGGGAGGAGACAGCGGGCAGAAGUUACCCCCCUUCCCCCCCCGCCUCGGGACCGCCUCGUGGCGCUCCGCCGAGGGCUCCACCGCCUUCCGUUGGGGCGCGGUGCGGCCAUCACGCGGCCGCCGGGGUAGCACCAAGCGGGCGGCACCGCGGCGGCCCCGCCACCGCUCCCUGCCCACGGCGAGGCUCCGCCGCUGGCCCCCGGGAAACAAAAGCGGUCUCGGCGUGCUUUGUUUCGGGGUGGCGGCGGAGAAGCCUGGAAGGAAAGCUAAGCCCUGCCCUUCGCCGAGCGACCACUCCGCGCGGGUCCCCGGCGUGUCACCCCGUGACAGUCCCCGCCGGCCGCGGCCGAACAAAGCCUCCGUACCCCGGCCCCGCCGAGCCGAGGCCCACGUCCCACAACACCGGAACCUCAGCCGGCUCCGUGCCGGUGGCGGGCGGAGGGCAGCCGCAGCCGCGCGGGGCCGCCGGACCCGGCCGAGUAGCGCCUCGGGCGCCCUGCGGGCGCUCCCGGUAGCGCUUUCCAUCUCGAGAUGAGAACCCACAGCAGUCGGAGGCGCAGGGCAGCAGCACGCCGUCGGUCUCCGCACGCGAACGGUCUCGGGGAAAGCCGCACGCGCCGCGCCGCGUCCCGCACCUGGGGCUGUCCCCACAGCUGCGUCGGUGCCUAGACUGUGGCCGCGUUCCGCUCGGGAGACCCCGGAGGCUGCUGCGGGGUUCCGCUGCGCCUUUUGUUCCGUAUCCCGCCGAUAUAACCCGCGCUGCAGGCUCCCAAAAGAACCAGGAACGCCGCUACUAACGCAAAUACCUUGAGAUGUCUCACUCAAAAGUCAGAGCCUGACAGCUGUGAAGUGCACCUGAAGACUAACCCUGAUGGGAGGAGUGUGCUGAAUGGUCUUUUCUGAAACAUACAAAUGGGACUUUCCUUGUUCAGUACUCCACUAUUUUUGGACAAGUGAUCUUUUAACCUACUUAAGGAGAAGUGUUACUGUGAGAUGCUAAAUAACUGUUUGUGCCAUGCUUGCUCUGCAAGAGUAUUGGGAUGGGCCAAGAGGAGGCCAAGGUGAGGGGAGAGGUUUGCAUCUACAGGGCAGUGCCAGCUAAGCAGGUCCAAAGCCAAGCCCCUGGGUGGCCAUGCUGUGGAACUCCUCCAGGCACUCCUGGAAUCAGCACGGAUGGGGAAUUACAGCGGGCAGAGGCUGCCCCACUGCACAUCUUGUACACCAAAGGGAGCAGCAACUGAGCAGUGCAAGGGCUUGUCGCAGAUUCACUCAGGGAUUCAUGAAUUUCUUGGUGAUCCAAAAACAGAUGGAAGGAAAUCAUGUAAUGCUUGCUACUUGCAUGUAUUUGACCGGAAAUUUAGUAAAAUCAAUGGCAUUGUCUGAAAAACACUUUGAGUGUAUGUUUACUGGUAGGUAAAACUCAAAGUAAAGCUCCUGGGGAGUGAAAUUGCAUGAACUACAAGAUAAAUACACAAGGGGCUGAGACAGGGGGUUGUCCUAAUUCUGCCCAGAAUACUAAGACUUAGCAUGUGAGAAUGAG